Molecule: ribosomal RNA, 368 nt
Filed under: uncultured organism
Description: bacterial SSU rRNA
Rfam family: Bacterial small subunit ribosomal RNA
Source: RNAcentral
CGGAGGAUCCAAGCGUUAUCCGGAAUCAUUGGGUUUAAAGGGUCCGUAGGCGGUUUUAUAAGUCAGUGGUGAAAUCUGGUCGCUCAACGAUCAAACGGCCAUUGAUACUGUAGAACUUGAAUUGCUUGGAAGUAACUAGAAUAUGUAGUGUAGCGGUGAAAUGCUUAGAGAUUACAUGGAAUACCAAUUGCGAAGGCAGGUUACUACAAGUGGAUUGACGCUGAUGGACGAAAGCGUGGGGAGCAAACAGGAUUAGAUACCCUGGUAGUCCACGCCCUAAACGUUGAUUACUCGCUGUUGGCGAUACACUGUCAGCGGCUAAGCGAAAGCGUUAAGUAAUCCACCUGGGAAGUACGUCCGCAAGGAUG